RNAcentral lists this ribosomal RNA (488 nucleotides) under uncultured bacterium. Its description in RNAcentral is "partial 16S ribosomal RNA". It matches the Rfam family "Bacterial small subunit ribosomal RNA", at positions 28 to 507 of the family's 1533-position model. The record is from RNAcentral.
GGCGAACGCUGGCGGCGUGCUUAACACAUGCAAGUCGAACGGAAAGGCCCUGCUUUUGUGGGGUGCUCGAGUGGCGAACGGGUGAGUAACACGUGAGUAACCUGCCCUUGACUUUGGGAUAACUUCAGGAAACUGGGGCUAAUACCGGAUAGGAGCUCCUGCUGCAUGGUGGGGGUUGGAAAGUUUCGGCGGUUGGGGAUGGACUCGCGGCUUAUCAGCUUGUUGGUGGGGUAGUGGCUUACCAAGGCUUUGACGGGUAGCCGGCCUGAGAGGGUGACCGGCCACAAUGGAAGUGAGACACGGGGCAGACUACUAAGGGAGGCAGCAGUGGGGAAGAUUGGACAAUGGGCGGAAGGCGGAUCCAGCCAUACCGCGUGGGGGAAGAAGGCCUUCGGGUUGUAAAGACCUUUUGUUGGGAAAGAAAAGCAGCAGGUUAAUACCACGCUGUUCUGACGGUACCCAAAGAAUAAGCACCGGCUAACUUCGUG